UGGGGAAUAUUGCACAAUGGGCGCAAGCCUGAUGCAGCGACGCCGCGUGAGGGAUGACGGCCUUCGGGUUGUAAACCUCUUUCAGCAGGGACGAAGCGCAAGUGACGGUACCUGCAGAAGAAGGACCGGCCAACUACGUGCCAGCAGCCGCGGUAAUACGUAGGGUCCGAGCGUUGUCCGGAAUUACUGGGCGUAAAGAGCUCGUAGGUGGUUUGUCGCGUUGUUCGUGAAACUCACAGCUUAACUGUGGGCGUGCGGGCGAUACGGGCAGACUGGAGUACUGCAGGGGAGACUGGAAUUCCUGGUGUAGCGGUGGAAUGCGCAGAUAUCAGGAGGAACACCGGUGGCGAAGGCGGGUCUCUGGGCAGUAACUGACGGCUGAGGAGCGAAAGCGUGGGGAGCGAACAGGAUUAGAUACCCUGGUAGUCCACGCCGUAAACGGUGGGUACUAGGUGUGGGUUUCCUUCCUUGGGAUCCGUGCCGUAGCUAACGCAUU
RNAcentral lists this ribosomal RNA (496 nucleotides) under uncultured Actinomycetes bacterium. Its description in RNAcentral is "bacterial SSU rRNA". It matches the Rfam family "Bacterial small subunit ribosomal RNA", at positions 355 to 861 of the family's 1533-position model. Lineage: Bacteria; Bacillati; Actinomycetota; Actinomycetes. The record is from RNAcentral.